Molecule: ribosomal RNA, 105 nt
Filed under: Puteibacter caeruleilacunae
Lineage: Bacteria; Pseudomonadati; Bacteroidota; Bacteroidia; Marinilabiliales; Prolixibacteraceae
Source: RNAcentral
GACUAUUGCAGUAGGGUCCCACCUCUUCCCAUUCCGAACAGAGAAGUUAAGCCUACUAGCGCCGAUGGUACUGCAGAGAUGUGGGAGAGUAGGUCGUCGCCAUUU